GCGGAUGUGGCGGAAUUGGUAGACGCGCUAGACUUAGGAUCUAGUGCCGCAAGGCGUGUGGGUUCGAGUCCCUCCAUCCGCAC
RNAcentral lists this transfer RNA (83 nucleotides) under Salinivirga cyanobacteriivorans. RNAcentral describes it as "tRNA-Leu". It matches the Rfam family "tRNA". From Rfam's summary of the family: Transfer RNA (tRNA) molecules are approximately 80 nucleotides in length. Lineage: Bacteria; Pseudomonadati; Bacteroidota; Bacteroidia; Bacteroidales; Salinivirgaceae. The record is from RNAcentral.